UACGGGGGGAGCAAGCGUUGAUCGGAUUUACUGGGCGUAAAGGGCGCGUAGGCGGCCACUGCAAGUCGGUUGUGAAAUCUCCGGGCUUAACCCGGAAAGGUCAAUCGAUACUGCAGGGCUAGAGUGCGGAAGGGGCAACUGGAAUUCUCGGUGUAGCGGUGAAAUGCGUAGAUAUCGAGAGGAACACCUGCGGCGAAGGCGGGUUGCUGGGCCGACACUGACGCUGACAGCGCGAAAGCUAGGGGAGCGAACGGG
RNAcentral lists this ribosomal RNA (255 nucleotides) under uncultured bacterium. RNAcentral describes it as "partial 16S ribosomal RNA". It matches the Rfam family "Bacterial small subunit ribosomal RNA", at positions 524 to 776 of the family's 1533-position model. The record is from RNAcentral.